This 72-nucleotide transfer RNA is filed under the name Jatropha curcas. It matches the Rfam family "tRNA". Rfam says of the family: Transfer RNA (tRNA) molecules are approximately 80 nucleotides in length. Their secondary structure includes four short double-helical elements and three loops (D, anti-codon, and T loops). Lineage: Eukaryota; Viridiplantae; Streptophyta; Magnoliopsida; Malpighiales; Euphorbiaceae. The record is from Rfam by way of RNAcentral.
UACCCUACAGCUCAAUGGUAGAGCGUCAGUCUUUAAAACUCAAGGGCUGUAGUUCAAUUUUACAUAAGGGAC